AUAAUACUCCCUCAGUCCGAAAAAGCUUGUCCCAAGUUUGUCUCUCAAAUGGAUGUAUCUAGCACCAAGUUGGUGCUAGAUACGUGCUAGAUACAUUCAUUCGAGGGACAAGUUUUUUCGGAUGGAGGGAGUAUGAG
This is a non-coding RNA of Triticum aestivum (bread wheat), 137 nucleotides long. Lineage: Eukaryota; Viridiplantae; Streptophyta; Magnoliopsida; Poales; Poaceae. The record is from Rfam.